GAAACUCUCUUCUAUAAAUAAAGAUCAUUCUCUCCCAAUAUUUCCGAAUGUCAUUUGUACUAAAUCAUUCACUAGUACUCACAAAAGGAGAGCUUGAACCUAUGUACUUGUGUAAACCCUUCACAAUUAAUGAGAACUCCUCUACUUUGUAGACAUAGCCAAUCUGGGUGAACCAUGUACAUCUUGUGUUUGCUUCCCUGUCUCUAUCCAUUUACAUACUUAUCCACACUAGUGACCGGAGCAAUCUAGCGAAGGUCACAAACUUAACAUUUUCUGUUGUACCAAAGUCCUCGCUGAUUUUGUGCAUCAACAUAGUUGUCGUCGGUUUUCUUAAAGGAUAAAUCCAAGAGAUAAUGCCCUUUCUGAUGUAUGUGCAAAUCUUAACACUUUGUAGUCAUCAAUUCUUCAUUGUGUUUAUGUAUUCUUUGAGUUGGUUGAUACAAUUAAAUUUAUCUCUGAAUCAGUUUUGAUAAAUGUUUGCUAGAUGCUCGAAAUGCUUGAGGAAAAAUGAGAGUACUACAGAAGGCUGCUGCAAAAGGGUAAGAAUAGCUGUUGAGAGCUACUACAGUUUUUGUUAAUUAAGGGUCGACAACUUACUUUGGCAGUUGUAAUCAUCAAUUCUUGACUCGAGCAUUACUUAUGAAGAAUGGAGUUGUAUAACUUUUGGAGUUGACAUUUUGAGAAAUAGCUUUAAAUUUUUGUUUUCAUUUUGCUGAUUUUCAAAGUGGUUGUGGGAAGCGGUUCUUUUGAACCAGAUUAAUUGUUUCACUGAUUGCAUGUUGAUUGUGUUUUUGAAUUUUGGGAGUCGAUCUUAAAAUGUAGCGGGCUUUUAAGGGAUUCGGGGUUUUUCCUAAUUUGGUGUUUGGUACGUGUGUGUUGUGCUGAGGUUGAAUUUAAAUUUUGCAGAUUGGUUUCUUAUCGGCUCACUUCACCCAUCUCUUGGUUAUUUGAAUUCUUUAGAGAUGCUUGUAUUGAUUUGUGAUUUUGUUGGAUUUUACUCUGGUGAAAAUUGUUCAUCUGCACUGGCUCAUUUUAGGACGCGACUCCAUUCUUGUUUAUUACUAAGUCUUAAUGGUGUGGGGUAUAUGUAAAUGAAUUCAAUUAGAACUCACUCUGUUUUGUAGCUGCCUUGAUCAUUAGUUGGUGAUGUUUGGGAGAUUGAGAGUAGGAUAGGAUAAUUUGUUCAUCUGCGCUGGCACUGACUUCUAUCCAUUUUGAGAGGAAAGCAGAUUUGGGUUCCAACUAAUCCUCGAGGGACUGAAAGCCUAGCGCCUGGUAUCAUUGCAUCUGAGUCGGAUGAUUUGCCCAGUGAGGUGUGCAGCUGCUACUCUUUAACUUUAGUAUGAAUGACACGUCCUGUUUUGUUGGAGAAUUGGAUUAUUUUUUCGGACCUGUUCUCUAAUCUUAGCCUUUUCUUUUGGAGGUGUAUCUUGUAACCUUUACCGUAGGUUGUGCUCAGAAAUAUAGUAUCUAUGCUUUCUUUAUCUUAUUCUGGAAUACCCACGCUGAUUGGGAGAUCAUUUGUUGUUCCAAGGUUGAAGGUGGUCUUCAUAUUCAUGAACUUGUCAAUUUAAUAUGUUCUUAGUUGAAGUUGUAGAAGGGUUGCAGUGAAUUUGUGGAGAUUUUUUAUAUGGUAAAUUAUGACUGCAAACCCCUUGAAAAUCUACUUUUUCCAGGUAUUUAUAUGAUCAUAUCUCAGUGUUGUCCUCAACUCUAAUCACUUUCAGUUGGACUUGAGUUAACGUUAUUCUUACGAAAUUUGUGGGUUUGAUUUUGGGUGCAGGCUGCAGCUGAUGAUCAGAUUCAAGUUAUAGAGAUGAUUAAGCUCUUGGAAACAAAGGGUUCGAAGACUUUUUAAAGUUUGGUUCCAACAUUUGUACAAAAUUCUAUAAAAUAUCAGUUAUGCAAAUUU
Molecule: long non-coding RNA, 1912 nt
Filed under: Malus domestica (apple)
Lineage: Eukaryota; Viridiplantae; Streptophyta; Magnoliopsida; Rosales; Rosaceae
Description: long non-coding RNA (MDOM_LNC003920)
Source: RNAcentral